AAUUGCUGGUUAAACACCCUAAAGGCACCAAAUCCCAUCAUGCCUCGGAAGCUAAGCAAGGAAAGCCUUGGUUGGUACUUGGAUGGGAGACCACCAAGGCAUCCCAGCUGUUGUAGUGA
Anolis carolinensis (green anole) is the source of this 119-nucleotide non-coding RNA. The record is from Rfam. NCBI's taxonomy places the organism in Eukaryota, Metazoa, Chordata, Lepidosauria, Squamata, Anolidae.